Molecule: ribosomal RNA, 443 nt
Filed under: uncultured bacterium
Lineage: Bacteria
Description: partial 16S ribosomal RNA
Rfam family: Bacterial small subunit ribosomal RNA
Source: RNAcentral
CCUACGGGAGGCAGCAGUGGGGAAUAUUGGGCAAUGGGCGCAAGCCUGACCCAGCAACGCCGCGUGAAGGAAGAAGGCUUUCGGGUUGUAAACUUCUUUUUUCAGGGACGAAGCAAGUGCCGGUACCUGAGGUAUAAGCCACGGCUAACUACGUGCCAGCAGGCGCGGCAAGCCGUAGGUGGCAAUCGUUAUCAGGAUUUACUGGGUGUAAAGGGCGUGUAGGCGGGACUGCAAGUCAGAUGUGAAAACCACGGGCUCAACCUGUGGCGUGCCUUUGAAACUGUAGUUCUUGAGUACGGGAGAGGCAGACGGAAUGCCUGGUGUAGCGGUGAAAUGCGUAGAUAUUAGGCAGAACUCCGGUGGCGAAGGCGGUCUGCUGGACAGCAACUGACGCUGAGGCGCGAAAGCGUGGGGAGCGAACAGGAUUAGAUACCCUGGUAGUC